RNAcentral lists this ribosomal RNA (639 nucleotides) under uncultured bacterium. RNAcentral describes it as "bacterial SSU rRNA". It matches the Rfam family "Bacterial small subunit ribosomal RNA", at positions 8 to 645 of the family's 1533-position model. The record is from RNAcentral.
AGAGUUUGAUCAUGGCUCAGGACGAACGCUAGCGGCAGGCCUAAUACAUGCAAGUCGAACGGCAGUCUCGACCUCGGUUGAGAUGAGAGUGGCGGACGGGUGCGUAACGCGUAUGCAACCUACCCUUCAAGGGGGGAUAGCUUCGGGAAACUGGAGAUAAUACCCCGUACGUUCUUUGUGUGGCAUCGCACGAAGAAGAUAGCCUUGGCGUUGAAGGAUGGGCAUGCGUCUGAUUAGCUAGUUGGCGGGGUAACGGCCCACCAAGGCGACGAUCAGUAGCUGGUCUGAGAGGAUGAUCAGCCACACGGGCACUGAGACACGGGCCCGACUCCUACGGGAGGCAGCAGUAAGGAAUCUUGGUCAAUGGGGGCAACCCUGAACCAGCCAUGCCGCGUGCAGGAAGAAGGCCCUCCGGGUUGUAAACUGCUUUUGUCAGGGACUAAUAAAUACCUAUACGGUAUGAUGUCGGUACCUGAAGAAUAAGCACCGGCUAACUACGUGCCAGCAGCCGCGGUAAUACGUAGGGUGCAAGCGUUGUCCGGAUUUAUUGGGUUUAAAGGGUGCGCAGGCGGCCCGAUAAGUUAGUGGUGAAAGCGUUCUGCUCAACAGGAUACUCGCCAUUAAUACUGUCAGGCUUGA